UUUUUUUUUUUUUAUUUUUUUAUUAUUAUUUUAAUUUUCUAUUAUUUUAAUUUUAAUUUUAGAAAUUAUUUAUUUUAAUUUUCUAUAUUAUAUUAUUAUUCUAUAUUCUAUAUUUAUAUUCUAUAUCAAAUAAUAUUGUUAUUUAUAUUAAAUAUUAUUAUUUAAUAUAUAAAUUAUUCUAUUAUAUAGAAUUUAGAAAUUUAUAUAUUUAUAUAUUAUUUUAUUAUAUUUUAUUAUUAUUUUAUUUAUUUUAAAUUUUUUUUAGGGCUAUACGGACUCGAACCGUAGACCUUCUCGGUAAAACAGAUCAAACUGAUUUUUAUCAAAAUGAUUCGAACUUUUUCAAAGACCCAACAUGCAUUUUUUUGUUUUGCAUUGGGCUCGUUCAUUAACUGAUAUAAAUAAUCCGUUAGUCUACCAUAAUUCUCUUGGCAGAAAGAUAAGAAGAUGGCUCCGUGUGCUCUGAUUUAUGUAUUCCGAUCCAAGAGCACUACCAAAGUGUUUCAAAGAAGAGAAGGGUUAUCCUGACGUAGGUCUGCUUUUGGCUUAGAUCAACCUAAGUUAAAUGGAAUCUCCAUCGCCCCACUUCUGCUUAAAGAAUCCAAUAUGAAACUUCAUACACCUUAAAGUUCAUAGGAUAGGACGAAAAGAGAAUUUUUGAGGUUCUUAUACUCAUUAUGCCUAGCAUUGAAUAGACUGGGUAUUCACCUUAUCAAGGUCUUAAAUCAAUAAUCAAUGAUGGGUUCUAUUGGGCGUCUAAAAAGGCACCUAAAUUGGACCGAACCUUUUGUGUCAGGCUAUUGUUCUCUUGUUCCCUAAAAGUCAUGGAGUAAGACAUCGACUUCUCAAUAAGUCUUUUGAUUACAUGAUGGACUCCUUUGAAAAAAAAAAAAAAAAAAAAAUA
Molecule: unclassified non-coding RNA, 904 nt
Filed under: Hevea brasiliensis (rubber tree)
Lineage: Eukaryota; Viridiplantae; Streptophyta; Magnoliopsida; Malpighiales; Euphorbiaceae
Source: RNAcentral